Molecule: ribosomal RNA, 1590 nt
Filed under: Meristogenys whiteheadi (Whitehead's Borneo frog)
Lineage: Eukaryota; Metazoa; Chordata; Amphibia; Anura; Ranidae
Description: 16S rRNA
Rfam family: Bacterial large subunit ribosomal RNA
Source: RNAcentral
UGAGCCUAAAAUCUAGCCCAUCUCACUCAUAUGCCUUUUAAUUCUUCAGCCCCAAAACAAACCAUUUUAACUUUUUAGUAUAGGCGAUUGAAAAAUCUCUAUGGCGCUUCAGAUAAAGUACCGCAAGGGAAUGAUGAAAUAACUAUGAAACAGUUUCAAAGCCUUAUAUAGCAGAGAUUUAACCUCGUACCUUUUGCAUCAUGGUCUAGUUAGUCUUCUCAAGCAAAAAGAAACUUUUAGUUUGACCCCCCGAAACUAUGUGAGCUACUUCAAAACAGUCCUAAGGGACCAACCCGUCUCUGUUGCAAAAGAGUGGGAAGAUUUUUAAGUAGAGGUGAUAACCCUACCGAACUUAGAGAUAGCUGGUUAUUCAGGAAAAGAGUCUUAGCUCUACCUUAAGUUUUUUUCUUCUUCCAAACAAACUCCUAAACUUAAGAGCUAUUCAAAUAAGGCACAGCUUAUUUGAAACAGGAUACAACCUAUUAUAAUGGGUAAUUAUAGUAAGAUAAACAAAGUGGGCCUAAAAGCAGCCAUCUUCUAAAAAGCGUUAAAGCUUAAUUAUUUUAUCACUAAUAAUUCCUUACACUAUUAUUAACCCUUCAUUACUACUGAAUUAUUUUAUAAUACUAUAAAAGAUAUCAUGCUAGAACUAGUAACAAGAAAUUGACUUUCUCCAAAAUGUAAGUAUAAGCCAAAAUGGACCAGCCAUUGACAAUUAACGCCAAUGAAUAAAUUAUAGCAACAUAAAACUAGAACAUCCUAUAACCCCCAUAAACGUUAACCUUACACUAGAACAUUACAGGAAAGAUUAAAAGAGAAAGAAGGAACUCGGCAAACCUUAGCCCCGCCUGUUUACCAAAAACAUCGCCUCUUGACAAACUAUAAGAGGUCCAGCCUGCCCAGUGACAAAGUUCAACGGCCGCGGUACCCUAACCGUGCGAAGGUAGCAUAAUCACUUGUUCUUUAAAUAAGGACUAGUAUCAACGGCACCACGAGGGCUAUACUGUCUCCUUUCUCCAAUCAGUGAAACUGAUCUCCCCGUGAAGAAGCGGGGAUUAAUAUAUAAGACGAGAAGACCCCAUGGAGCUUUAAACUCACCAUACACCUCUGUUUAUUUACACCAUAAUAUCCUAAAAGACUUGUAUGUUAGUUUUAGGUUGGGGGGACCGCGGAGUAAACUUUAACCUCCACGACAAAUGGGCUAUGCCCUUAUCUAAGGACUACAGUUCUAAGAAUCAACAAACUGAUGUUUAAUGACCCGAAUAAUCGAUCAACGAACCAAGUUACCCUGGGGAUAACAGCGCAAUCUACUUCAAGAGCCCCUAUCGACAAGUAGGUUUACGACCUCGAUGUUGGAUCAGGGUACCCCAGUGGUGCAGCCGCUACUAAAGGUUCGUUUGUUCAACGAUUAAAACCCUACGUGAUCUGAGUUCAGACCGGAGCAAUCCAGGUCGGUUUCUAUCUAUAAAGCGUUUUCCCUAGUACGAAAGGAUCGGGAUAACAUGGCCAAUGCAAGCCCAAGCCAUUAUUCCUUACUAAUGAACUCUAUCUUAAUUAGCUAAGACCUUAUAUUUUAUUGUAGACCAUAAU